RNAcentral lists this ribosomal RNA (253 nucleotides) under uncultured bacterium. Its description in RNAcentral is "partial 16S ribosomal RNA". It matches the Rfam family "Bacterial small subunit ribosomal RNA", at positions 524 to 776 of the family's 1533-position model. The record is from RNAcentral.
UACGAGAGGUGCGAGCGUUAUUCGGAAUUAUUGGGCGUAAAGGGUGCGUAGACGGUAUGCUAAGUCAGUAGUUAAAUUUCCCGGCCUAACCGGGAGCCUGCUAUUGAUACUGGCGUACUAGAGGGUGGAAGAGAGAAGUGGAAUUCUCGGAGUAGCGGUAAAAUGCGUAGAUAUCGAGAGGAACACCGAUGGCGAAGGCAGCUUCUUGGGCCACACCUGACGUUGAGGCACGAAAGCGUGGGGAGCAAACAGG